Molecule: ribosomal RNA, 347 nt
Filed under: uncultured Pseudomonas sp.
Lineage: Bacteria; Pseudomonadati; Pseudomonadota; Gammaproteobacteria; Pseudomonadales; Pseudomonadaceae
Description: bacterial SSU rRNA
Rfam family: Bacterial small subunit ribosomal RNA
Source: RNAcentral
GGUGCUGCAUGGCUGUCGUCAGCUCGUGGUCGUGAGAUGUUGGGUUAAGUCCCGUAACGAGCCGCAACCCUUGUCCUUAGUUACCAGCACGUUAUGGUGGGCACUCUAAGGAGACUGCCGGUGACAAACCGGAGGAAGUGGGGAUGACGUCAAGUCAUCAUGGCCCUUACGGCCUGGGCUACACACGUGCUACAAUGGUCGGUACAAAGGGUUGCCAAGCCGCGAGGUGGAGCUAAUCCCAUAAAACCGAUCGUAGUCCGGAUCGCAGUCUGCAACUCGACUGCGUGAAGUCGGAAUCGCUAGUAAUCGUGAAUCAGAAUGUCACGGUGAAUACGUUCCCGGGCCUU